This is a long non-coding RNA of Polyodon spathula (Mississippi paddlefish), 534 nucleotides long. RefSeq lists it as uncharacterized. The transcript has 3 exons. Lineage: Eukaryota; Metazoa; Chordata; Actinopteri; Acipenseriformes; Polyodontidae. The record is from RefSeq and is a predicted model, not a curated record.
UGUGUUGGAAAUAGCAAUUGGCCUCUCCAUCAUUAUUGCAACUGCAAUCCUGCUUUCUGUCUGCAAUUGGUGCUUUCGAAAACAGAUAGGUGACUAUGUUGAUGUCCUGUGGCCGAUACCUGAGCCCAAAGAUGACACCCAAAACAGGAUUGAUAAUGACCCCCAGGGCAUUAUAUAUGCAGACAUACAGUGGAUGGGUUCCUCGAACAACAAACCUUUUUUAAAAGACGUCCCAUUCAAUCACCAGGAAAAUAAUCGAGAAGAGAACGUUCUUUACUGUAACGUUUCACUGUCAUAAAUCUUUUAAAUAUAUUUUUUAAAUAAUAAUAGUUGAAAAUAAAUGUAUUAUGUACAAGGACCUUCUCAUAUAUGACACGUUAUCAGUUUUUCCCGCAAGAUCCAUAACAAUGUAACCAAUGUAAUUUUCAACCAAAUGCACACUAUUGUGUAUUAUAGUUACUGAUGAGCGCUUAGCUCUGAGCCAAUGCUCCCAAACAUGAGUUAUUGUUUCAACAUCACAGAGCACUAAAACCA